CAAUAAGCGGAGGAAAAGAAACCAACAGGGAUUGCCCCAGUAACGGCGAGUGAAGCGGCAACAGCUCAAAUUUGAAAUCUGGCCCCCCGCGGGCCCGAGUUGUACUUUGGAGAGGACGCUUCUGGCGCGGCGCCGGCCGAGUGCCCUGGAACGGGCCGCCGGAGAGGGUGAGAGCCCCGUACGGCCGGCCGCCUAGCCUCUGCGAAGCUCCUUCGACGAGUCGAGUAGUUUGGGAAUGCUGCUCAAAAUGGGAGGUAAAUUUCUUCUAAAGCUAAAUACCGGCCAGAGACCGAUAGCGCACAAGUAGAGUGAUCGAAAGAUGAAAAGCACUUUGAAAAGAGGGUUAAACAGUACGUGAAAUUGCUGAAAGGGAAGCGCCUGUGGCCAGACUUGCGCCCCGCGGACCACCCGGCGCCCGCGCCGGGGCACGCCGCGGGGCGCAGGCCAGCAUCGGCUCUCCCAGGGGGACAAAGGCCGCGGGAACGUAGCGCCCUCGGGCGUGUUACAGCCCGCGGCGCCAUGCCCCUGGGGGGGCCGAGG
This 540-nucleotide ribosomal RNA is filed under the name Harringtonia aguacate. RNAcentral's name for it is "Raffaelea aguacate partial large subunit ribosomal RNA". It matches the Rfam family "Eukaryotic large subunit ribosomal RNA", at positions 44 to 591 of the family's 3401-position model. Lineage: Eukaryota; Fungi; Ascomycota; Sordariomycetes; Ophiostomatales; Ophiostomataceae. The record is from RNAcentral.